GUCUGCUUGUAAAAAUAAGCAGUCUAGCCUGCCCACUGAAUAAUUUAAAGGCCGCGGUAUCCUGACCGUGCGAAGGUAGCAUAAUAAUUAGUCUUUUAAUUGAAGACUGGAAUGAAAGGCUGGACAAGAAGCAACCUGUCUCAACUUUUCCCAUUGAACUUAACUUUUAAGUGAAAAGGCUUAAAUAAUUUAGGGGGACGAUAAGACCCUGUAAAACUUUAUAUUUAAAUCUCUAGGUUGUAAUUUUUUAGUAUAAAAUAAUCUAUUUAUUAUUGUAUUUCAUUGGGGCGAUGAAAGUAUAAACACUAACUGCUUUCCUUUGGCACAAAAAUCUUUGACUCUUUGAUCCCUUCUUAGGAUUUCAAGAAAAAGUUACUUAAGGGAUAACAGCGUAAUUUUUUUUAAGAGUUCAUAUCGACAAAAAAGUUUGCGACCUCGAUGUUGAAUUAAAAUUUCCUUAUAGUGCAGCAAUUAUAAAGGAAGGUCUGUUCGACCUUUAAAUUUUUACAUGAUUUGAGUUCAAACCGGUGUAAG
This 534-nucleotide ribosomal RNA is filed under the name Eucalliaxiopsis sp. PNG-1153. RNAcentral describes it as "partial large subunit ribosomal RNA". It matches the Rfam family "Bacterial large subunit ribosomal RNA", at positions 1821 to 2625 of the family's 2925-position model. The record is from RNAcentral. Lineage: Eukaryota; Metazoa; Arthropoda; Malacostraca; Decapoda; Eucalliacidae.